CAGUCGCCGCGGUAAUACAGAGGGUGCGAGCGUUAAUCGGAUUUACUGGGCGUAAAGCGUGCGUAGGCGGCUUCUUAAGUCGGAUGUGAAAUCCCUGAGCUUAACUUAGGAAUUGCAUUCGAUACUGGGAAGCUAGAGUAUGGGAGAGGAUGGUAGAAUUCCAGGUGUAGCGGUGAAAUGCGUAGAGAUCUGGAGGAAUACCGAUGGCGAAGGCAGCCAUCUGGCCUAAUACUGACGCUGAGGUACGAAAGCAUGGGGAGCAAACAGGAUUAGAUACCCGGGUAGUCCCUGUCUCUUAUCA
Molecule: ribosomal RNA, 301 nt
Filed under: uncultured bacterium
Lineage: Bacteria
Description: partial 16S ribosomal RNA
Rfam family: Bacterial small subunit ribosomal RNA
Source: RNAcentral